This 253-nucleotide ribosomal RNA is filed under the name uncultured bacterium. RNAcentral describes it as "partial 16S ribosomal RNA". It matches the Rfam family "Bacterial small subunit ribosomal RNA", at positions 524 to 776 of the family's 1533-position model. The record is from RNAcentral.
UACGGAGGGUGCAAGCGUUAUCCGGAUUCACUGGGUUUAAAGGGUGCGUAGGUGGGCAGGUAAGUCAGUGGUGAAAUCUCCGGGCUUAACCCGGAAACUGCCGUUGAUACUAUCUGUCUUGAAUAUAGUGGAGGUGAGCGGAAUAUGUCAUGUAGCGGUGAAAUGCUUAGAUAUGACAUAGAACAUCGAUUGCGAAGGCAGCUCGCUACGCUAUUAUUGACACUGAGGCACGAAAGCGUGGGGAUCAAACAGG